RNAcentral lists this ribosomal RNA (451 nucleotides) under uncultured bacterium. RNAcentral describes it as "partial 16S ribosomal RNA". It matches the Rfam family "Bacterial small subunit ribosomal RNA", at positions 29 to 523 of the family's 1533-position model. The record is from RNAcentral.
AACGAACGCUGGCGGCAGGCUUAACACAUGCAAGUCGAACGCCUGUAGCAAUACAGGAGUGGCAGACGGGUGAGUAACACGUGGGAACGUGCCCAAAGGUACGGAACAACUCCGGGAAACUGGAGCUAAUACCGUAUGUGCCCGAAAGGGGAAAGAUUCAUCGCCUUUGGAUCGGCCCGCGUCUGAUUAGCUAGUUGGUGGGGUAAUGGCCUACCAAGGCGACGAUCAGUAGCUGGUCUGAGAGGAUGGCCAGCCACACUGGGACUGAGACACGGCCCAGACUCCUACGGGAGGCAGCAGUGGGGAAUAUUGGACAAUGGGCGCAAGCCUGAUCCAGCCAUGCCGCGUGAGUGAUGAAGGCCUUAGGGUUGUAAAGCUCUUUCGCCAGGGACGAUAAUGACGGUACCUGGAUAAGAAGCCCCGGCUAACUUCGUGCCAGCAGCCGCCGUAA